AAAGGUGGCUUCGGCUACCACUUACAGAUGGACCCGCGGCGCAUUAGCUAGUUGGUGAGGUAACGGCUCACCAAGGCGACGAUGCGUAGCCGACCUGAGAGGGUGAUCGGCCACACUGGGACUGAGACACGGCCCAGACUCCUACGGGAGGCAGCAGUAGGGAAUCUUCCGCAAUGGACGAAAGUCUGACGGAGCAACGCCGCGU
RNAcentral lists this ribosomal RNA (205 nucleotides) under Bacillus sp. IG2. Its description in RNAcentral is "partial 16S ribosomal RNA". It matches the Rfam family "Bacterial small subunit ribosomal RNA", at positions 202 to 402 of the family's 1533-position model. Lineage: Bacteria; Bacillati; Bacillota; Bacilli; Caryophanales; Bacillaceae. The record is from RNAcentral.